UGGGGAAUAUUGCACAAUGGGCGCAAGCCUGAUGCAGCCAUGCCGCGUGUAUGAAGAAGGCCUUCGGGUUGUAAAGUACUUUCAGCGGGGAGGAAGGGAGUAAAGUUAAUACCUUUGGUCAUUGACGUUACCCGCAGAAGAAGCACCGGCUAACUCCGUGCCAGCAGCCGCGGUAAUACGGAGGGUGCAAGCGUUAAUCGGAAUUACUGGGCGUAAAGCGCACGCAGGCGGUUUGUUAAGUCAGAUGUGAAAUCCCCGGGCUCAACCUGGGAACUGCAGCUGAUACUGGCAAGCUUGAGUCUCGUAGAGGGGGGUAGAAUUCCAGGUGUAGCGGUGAAAUGCGUAGAGAUCUGGAGGAAUACCGGUGGCGAAGGCGGCCCCCUGGACGAAGACUGACGCUCAGGUGCGAAAGCGUGGGGAGCAAACAGG
RNAcentral lists this ribosomal RNA (429 nucleotides) under Chloroflexota bacterium. RNAcentral describes it as "Chloroflexi bacterium partial 16S ribosomal RNA". It matches the Rfam family "Bacterial small subunit ribosomal RNA", at positions 355 to 776 of the family's 1533-position model. Lineage: Bacteria; Bacillati; Chloroflexota. The record is from RNAcentral.